This is a non-coding RNA of Schistosoma haematobium, 46 nucleotides long. The record is from Rfam. Lineage: Eukaryota; Metazoa; Platyhelminthes; Trematoda; Strigeidida; Schistosomatidae.
GCACUACUGAGGAGUCCCAUACCAGGACGAAACGGCCGUCCAAUGC